This 497-nucleotide ribosomal RNA is filed under the name uncultured bacterium. Its description in RNAcentral is "partial 16S ribosomal RNA". It matches the Rfam family "Bacterial small subunit ribosomal RNA", at positions 28 to 507 of the family's 1533-position model. The record is from RNAcentral.
GAUGAACGCUGGCGGCGUGCCUAAUACAUGCAAGUCGAGCGAACAGACGAGGAGCUUGCUCCUCUGACGUUAGCGGCGGACGGGUGAGUAACACGUGGAUAACCUACCUAUAAGACUGGGAUAACUUCGGGAAACCGGAGCUAAUACCGGAUAAUAUAUUGAACCGCAUGGUUCAAUAGUGAAAGACGGUUUUGCUGUCACUUAUAGAUGGAUCCGCGCCGCAUUAGCUAGUUGGUAAGGUAACGGCUUACCAAGGCGACGAUGCGUAGCCGACCUGAGAGGGUGAUCGGCCACACUGGAACGGAGACACGGUCCAGACUCCUACGGGAGGCAGCAGUAGGGAAUCUUCCGCAAUGGGCGAAAGCCUGACGGAGCAACGCCGCGUGAGUGAUGAAGGUCUUCGGAUCGUAAAACUCUGUUAUUAGGGAAGAACAAAUGUGUAAGUAACUAUGCACGUCCUGACGGUACCUAAUCAGAAAGCCACGGCUAACUACGUG